Molecule: transfer RNA, 63 nt
Filed under: Cavia porcellus (domestic guinea pig)
Lineage: Eukaryota; Metazoa; Chordata; Mammalia; Rodentia; Caviidae
Rfam family: tRNA
About the family: Transfer RNA (tRNA) molecules are approximately 80 nucleotides in length. Their secondary structure includes four short double-helical elements and three loops (D, anti-codon, and T loops). Further hydrogen bonds mediate the characteristic L-shaped molecular structure. tRNAs have two regions of fundamental functional importance: the anti-codon, which is responsible for specific mRNA codon recognition, and the 3' end, to which the tRNAs corresponding amino acid is attached (by aminoacyl-tRNA synthetases). tRNAs cope with the degeneracy of the genetic code in two manners: having more than one tRNA (with a specific anti-codon) for a particular amino acid; and 'wobble' base-pairing, i.e. permitting non-standard base-pairing at the 3rd anti-codon position.
Source: Rfam by way of RNAcentral
GGGGAUUUAGCUCAGCGGCAUAAGCCCCUGCCUUGCAAGCAGGCAGUUGGUGUUUAAUCCCUG